GGGUUUUUAUCCAUAGCUAUUAGGAGGCAAUUUACGUAUUCGGCCUUGAUAGAGGCUGCCCAUCUACUUAGAGGUGGAUUGAAGUUAUCUCAAGUUGCAGGUCAUUUGAGUCUUGUCUUUUGUAGGCAAUUUGUGUUAUAUGUUUUGUUGAGCUUGAUUCUUUCAAGUGAUCUUGCUCUUUAGCUAUAGUAGUCCGAUAACCUCUGCUCAACGUAGUCCCUAGUAUUUCUGGUAAGGAUUGACUCUCUCACAAACCACAAACAGACACAUGCGCUUGCACAUUCUCACCAUCUACUUUCUUGUUUAGGAUUUUAAUUUUAAUCUUAA
This 327-nucleotide unclassified non-coding RNA is filed under the name Hevea brasiliensis (rubber tree). Lineage: Eukaryota; Viridiplantae; Streptophyta; Magnoliopsida; Malpighiales; Euphorbiaceae. The record is from RNAcentral.